GGAGCAACUUCUGGAGAGUUCGUUCAAACGACGCCGAAGGAUUCACAAUCUCAGGCAACCGGACAGAAGACAUAAC
This 76-nucleotide non-coding RNA is filed under the name Paraliobacillus sp. PM-2. RNAcentral's name for it is "Glycine riboswitch aptamer". It matches the Rfam family "Glycine riboswitch aptamer". Rfam says of the family: This family represents the bacterial glycine riboswitch. Glycine riboswitches usually consist of two metabolite-binding aptamers domains with similar structures in tandem. The record is from Rfam by way of RNAcentral. Lineage: Bacteria; Bacillati; Bacillota; Bacilli; Caryophanales; Bacillaceae. RNAcentral also lists the same sequence under 1 other name.